This 134-nucleotide small nuclear RNA is filed under the name Otolemur garnettii (small-eared galago). RNAcentral's name for it is "U4 spliceosomal RNA". It matches the Rfam family "U4 spliceosomal RNA". From Rfam's summary of the family: U4 small nuclear RNA (U4 snRNA) is a component of the major U2-dependent spliceosome. Lineage: Eukaryota; Metazoa; Chordata; Mammalia; Primates; Galagidae. The record is from Rfam by way of RNAcentral.
AGAUUUGCACAGUGGCAGUAUCGUAGCCAAUGAGGUUUAUCCAAGGCGCAAUUAUUGCUAAUUGAAAAGUUUUCUUUCCAUCUAAAUAAGUUGAGAGAUUAGCAAUGGACAUUUGCUGACCAUAGUAAGGUUUA